Molecule: ribosomal RNA, 556 nt
Filed under: uncultured bacterium
Lineage: Bacteria
Description: bacterial SSU rRNA
Rfam family: Bacterial small subunit ribosomal RNA
Source: RNAcentral
AGUGAAUAGAUACCCUGGUAGUCCUAGCUGUAAACGAUGGACACUAGGUGUUGGAGGCAUCAAACCCCUUCAGUGCUGUUAUGCUAACGCGUUAAGUGUCCCGCCUGGGGAGUACGGCCGCAAGGUUGAACUACAAGGAAAUUGACGGGGGCCCGGCACAAGCGGUGGAGCAUGUGGGUUAAGUGGGAGUGAUACGCCAAGAACCUUACCACGGGUUUGGUACAUGUUAGGGUAAAGGACCCACUGAAAGUAGGGACCCCCGGGGCCGAACCGGGCCCGUACUCACAGGUGGUGCAUGGUUGUCGUCAGCUCGUGUCGUGAGAUGUUGGGUUAAGUCCCGCAACGAGCGCAACCCUCGCCGGAUGUUGCCAGCGUAAAGCCGGGCACUCUUCCGGGACUGCCUGAGUAAUCAGGAGGAGGGAGAGGAUGACGUCAAAUCUGCAUGCCCCUUAUAUCCUGGGCUGCACACGUGCUACAAUGGCAGGUACAAAGGGUAGCCAAGCCGCGAGGUGGAGCCAAUCCCAAAACCGUGUCCCAGUUCGGAUUGGAUGUCUGC